This 199-nucleotide long non-coding RNA is filed under the name Elaeis guineensis (African oil palm). RNAcentral's name for it is "long non-coding RNA (EGUI_LNC019614)". The record is from RNAcentral. Lineage: Eukaryota; Viridiplantae; Streptophyta; Magnoliopsida; Arecales; Arecaceae.
UUGACAAUACACAGGACUGGCAAUCUGGAAGCAUGGCGAUGGCAAGAUAAAUGCCUUGCGGAAGGAAGCGAUGAUAGGAGGUCAAAAAAUUUGACCAAAAAUAGUUAAUUUACAUUGAGAGUAACGUAAAAAAUCAGACACCGUGAUUUUUUUUUUCUAAGGGUAAACAGUCGCCGUUACUCUAAAAUGAGCUGGAGGC